Molecule: ribosomal RNA, 463 nt
Filed under: uncultured bacterium
Lineage: Bacteria
Description: partial 16S ribosomal RNA
Rfam family: Bacterial small subunit ribosomal RNA
Source: RNAcentral
GACGAACGCUGGCGGCGUGCUUAACACAUGCAAGUCGAACGGAAAGGCCCUGCUUGCCGGGUACUCGAGUGGCGAACGGGUGAGUAACACGUGGGUGAUCUGCCCUGCACUUCGGGAUAAGCCUGGGAAACUGGGUCUAAUACCGGAUAGGAGCCAUUUUUAGUGUGAUGGUUGGAAAGUUUUUUCGGUGUAGGAUGAGCUCGCGGCCUAUCAGCUUGUUGGUGGGGUAAUGGCCUACCAAGGCGGCGACGGGUAGCCGGCCUGAGAGGGUGGACGGCCACAUUGGGACUGAGAUACGGCCCAGACUCCUACGGGAGGCAGCAGUGGGGAAUAUUGCACAAUGGGCGCAAGCCUGAUGCAGCGACGCCGCGUGGGGGAUGACGGCCUUCGGGUGGUAAACUCCUUUCGCUAGGGACGAAGCUUUUUGUGACGGUACCUAGAUAAGAAGCACCGGCUAACUACG